RNAcentral lists this ribosomal RNA (486 nucleotides) under uncultured bacterium. RNAcentral describes it as "bacterial SSU rRNA". It matches the Rfam family "Bacterial small subunit ribosomal RNA", at positions 9 to 537 of the family's 1533-position model. The record is from RNAcentral.
GAGUUUGAUCCUGGCUCAGGACGAACGCUGGCGGCGUGCUUAACACAUGCAAGUCGAGCGGGCGUAGCAAUACGUCAGCGGCAGACGGGUGAGUAACGCGUGGGAACGUACCUUUUGGUUCGGAACAACCCAGGGAAACUUGGGCUAAUACCGGAUAAGCCCUCACGGGGAAAGAUUUAUCGCCGAAAGAUCGGCCCGCGUCUGAUUAGCUAGUUGGUGAGGUAAUGGCCCACCAAGGCGACGAUCAGUAGCUGGUCUGAGAGGAUGAUCAGCCACAUUGGGACUGAGACACGGCCCAGACUCCUACGGGAGGCAGCAGUGGGGAAUAUUGCGCAAUGGGGGAAACCCUGACGCAGCGACGCCGCGUGCGGGAUGAAGGCCUUCGGGUUGUAAACCGCUUUCACCGGGACGAAGCGAGAGUGACGGUACCCGGGAAGAAGCGCCGGCUAACUACGUGCCAGCAGCCGCGGUAAUCUGAUGGCGCGA